Molecule: ribosomal RNA, 468 nt
Filed under: uncultured bacterium
Lineage: Bacteria
Description: partial 16S ribosomal RNA
Rfam family: Bacterial small subunit ribosomal RNA
Source: RNAcentral
GACGAACGCUGGCGGCGUGCUUAACACAUGCAAGUCGAACGGAAAGGCCCUGCUUUUGUGGGGUGCUCGAGUGGCGAACGGGUGAGUAACACGUGAGUAACCUGCCCUUGACUUUGGGAUAACUUCAGGAAACUGGGGCUAAUACCGGAUAGGAGCUCCUGCUGCAUGGUGGGGGUUGGAAAGUUUCGGCGGUUGGGGAUGGACUCGCGUCUUAUCAGCUUGUUGGUGGGGUAGUGGCUUACCAAGGCUUUGACGGGUAGCCGGCCUGAGAGGGUGACCGGCCAAAUUGGGACUGAGAUACGGCACAGACUCCUACGGGAGGCAGCAGUGGGGAAUAUUGCACAAUGGGCGGAAGCCUGAUGCAGCAACGCCGCGUGCGGGAUGACGGCCUUCGGGUUGUAAACCGCUUUCGCCUGUGACGAAGCGUGAGUGACGGUAAUGGGUAAAGAAGCACCGGCUAACUACGUG